This 497-nucleotide ribosomal RNA is filed under the name uncultured bacterium. Its description in RNAcentral is "partial 16S ribosomal RNA". It matches the Rfam family "Bacterial small subunit ribosomal RNA", at positions 28 to 507 of the family's 1533-position model. The record is from RNAcentral.
GAUGAACGCUGGCGGCGUGCCUAAUACAUGCAAGUCGAGCGAACGGACGAGAAGCUUGCUUCUCUGAUGUUAGCGGCGGACGGGUGAGUAACACGUGGAUAACCUACCUAUAAGACUGGGAUAACUUCGGGAAACCGGAGCUAAUACCGGAUCAUAUUUUGAACCGCAUGGUUCAAAAGUGAAAGACGGUCUUGCUGUCACUUAUAGAUGGAUCCGCGCUGCAUUAGCUAGUUGGUAAGGUAACGGCUUACCAAGGCGACGAUGCAUAGCCGACCUGAGAGGGUGAUCGGCCACACUGGAACUGAGACACGGUCCAGACUCCUACGGGAGGCAGCAGUAGGGAAUCUUCGGCAAUGGGCGAAAGCCUGAUGGAGCAACGCCGCGUGAGUGAUGAAGGUCUUCGGAUCGUAAAACUCUGUUAUUAGGGAAGAACAGAUGUGUAAGUAUCUGUGCACAUCUUGACGGUACCUAAAGAGAAAGCCACGGCUAACUACGUG